Molecule: long non-coding RNA, 1234 nt
Organism: Gorilla gorilla gorilla (western lowland gorilla)
Lineage: Eukaryota; Metazoa; Chordata; Mammalia; Primates; Hominidae
Exons: 4
Source: RefSeq, a predicted model, not a curated record
UAGAGCUGGGGUUUCACUGUGUUGGCCAGGCUGGUCUCGAAAUCCUGACCUCAGGUUAUCCACCCAGCUUGGCCUCCCAGAAUGCUGGGAUUACAGGCGUGAGCCACUAUGCCUGGCCUGCUUUUUAGACUAAUUUCCUUCUGACCUUCCCAGGGAAAUUUGGGAUCCAGCUGUAUUGAACUAUGUGCCAUUCUCCAAAAAUGUCAUUCUGUUCUGUACUCAGACGUUUUUCCAUCUACUAACCCGAGAAUUCCUUGCUCACUUUCAAAAGCUGGAACGAAUAUUACUGUCUUUAUGAAAACCCUCCUCAGUAGUACUGUCUCCAAAUCCCAAACCCAACGCCCACACCAACCCAAAUUGGUUUACAGCUAUGAUUUCCAACAGCGCGUUGUUUCUGUUUCUCUACAAGCACAUCCAGUUCUCCUUGUAGAUGAUACGUCUGGGGGGUCAGAGACUGUGGUGUUUUAUCUGUAUUUGUACCCACGAUGGUGGCACAAGGCAGAAUCUCCAUCAAUCACAUAUCGGGCGCCGGCGUCAGCAUCACCAGGCGUGGGAGGCUCCGUGAUGCCCUGGUGUUCUGUGAAACUGGACUUACACCAGUGCUACCAAAUGUCGCCAACCCCAUGACUGGGUCCCACUCUUUCCCAGCCAACAAUUCGACUUCUGUGGAGGCCAUUGGGCUGUGCUGUGAAUGUGAGCCUGUGUUGAAGCAUGCAGGGCCUGCGGAGAAAGCUUAGAGCCAUCGUAAAACCACUUUGUGUCCACGAGUGAGCCAAGGAGGUAAAGCUCUGAGCCUUUUAUUUCUUUUCUUUCAAUUCUUCAGUGUGGGGAGAAGCAGCCAAGCAUCUCCAAAGUGCUUGUUCCCUGGGCCUUGAUGUGUUGCUGCGACAGCCGUCCUUCACCAGAUAGACACAUCCCAGGUGAUGGCAGGUGAUACCAGCCUGGCUGCAUUCCACACAGGGCCAUAGGCUCCAGCGUCCCACAUCAGCAAUGCAGUGUGUUCAGGUGACCAAGACCCAAUGACAAGCCCUGAGUGCAGUCACCCGCAUCAUUUCUGUCAUCAUCUACUGUGCCAGUGGAUCCUUAUGUUGGUCAACACGUCUGCAUAAGAAGCACCUCGCGACGAAUCACAGCUGGGAGAUUUGAGGCAACGUAUUUACUUCUCUGUGGCUUCUGCUGAAAAUACUAACCACGCUGGGUUCUUUGGAUUAACUCAGCAUCCUUUGCGGUCGGG